This 491-nucleotide ribosomal RNA is filed under the name uncultured bacterium. RNAcentral describes it as "partial 16S ribosomal RNA". It matches the Rfam family "Bacterial small subunit ribosomal RNA", at positions 29 to 506 of the family's 1533-position model. The record is from RNAcentral.
AGUGAACGCUGGCGGUAGGCCUAACACAUGCAAGUCGAACGGCAGCACAGUAAGAGCUUGCUCUUACGGGUGGCGAGUGGCGGACGGGUGAGGAAUACAUCGGAAUCUACUUUUUCGUGGGGGAUAACGUAGGGAAACUUACGCUAAUACCGCAUACGACCUACGGGUGAAAGCAGGGGAUCUUCGGACCUUGCGCGAUUGAAUGAGCCGAUGUCGGAUUAGCUAGUUGGCGGGGUAAAGGCCCACCAAGGCGACGAUCCGUAGCUGGUCUGAGAGGAUGAUCAGCCACACUGGAACUGAGACACGGUCCAGACGCCUACGGGAGGCAGCAGUGGGGAAUAUUGGACAAGGGGCGCAAGCCUGAUCCAGCCAUACCGCGGGGGUGAAGAAGGCCUUCGGGUUGUAAAGCCCUUUUGUUGGGAAAGAAAAGCAGCAGGUUAAUACCCCGCUGUUCUGACGGUACCCAAAGAAUAAGCACCGGCUAACUUCGU